RNAcentral lists this ribosomal RNA (515 nucleotides) under uncultured bacterium. Its description in RNAcentral is "bacterial SSU rRNA". It matches the Rfam family "Bacterial small subunit ribosomal RNA", at positions 8 to 518 of the family's 1533-position model. The record is from RNAcentral.
AGAGUUGAUUAUGGCUCAGGAUGAACGCUAGCGGCAGGCCUAAUACAUGCAAGUCGAACGGGAAGGGUCCUUCGGGACCCUGAGAGUGGCGCACGGGUGCGUAACGCGUAUGCAACCGAACCCCUUUCCGGGGGACAGCCGGUGGAAACGCCGGGUAAUACCCCAUGUCGACGUAGGAGGACAUCCUCUUCGUUGAAAGACUUCAGUCGGAGAGGGACGGGCAUGCGUCCCAUUAGCUGGUUGGCGGGGCAACGGCCCACCAAGGCGAUGAUGGGUAGGGGAUCUGAGAGGACGGUCCCCCACACUGGUACUGAGACACGGACCAGACUCCUACGGGAGGCAGCAGUAAGGAAUAUUGGGCAAUGGGGGGAACCCUGACCCAGCCAAUGCCGCGUGAGGGAAUAAGGCCCUACGGGUCGUAAACCUCUUUUGCCCGGGGACAAGGACGGCGUCGCGAACGCCGUUUGCGGGUACCGGGCGAAUAAGCAUCGGCCUAACUCCGUGCCAGCAGCCGC